AGAGCCUGCGCAGUUCCCCUCAAAGCCAGGGGCUCUAGGGAUGUUGUGUCCAGAAUGUCUGUGGGUUUUGCCACAGCCACACAUGAAAGCCCGAGGUAAGGAAAUCAGCCUAUAACGGGGAAGAGCAGCUUACCUGUGAAGGUGAGGAUGAAAUCCGCAUUAAUACUUCUGUCCUGCCAGCUACAGGCAUAUGGAUGGGUCCGCCAGGGGCUAAUGCGCACAACUCAAUACUCUUCAGACAUUCAUCGAGUACCUCCCAGGCUGGAUGAUGGACUGGAUCUGAGAACCAGGAGAGUCACCCUGAAGCCGAUGGUUGAAACAUCUCUGCAGCUGCUGGCACAGGUCUCGGGAUGGGAUGUCUCUGCUUCGCCAGACUGCCUGCUCCCCCGUAGGUGAGAAAGUUCUCAGAGUUCCUGCUCUGGCACAGUGGGUUAAGGAUGCAACAGUCCUGCAGUUGUGGCAUAGGUCACAGCUGCGGCUAGGAUUCAAUCCCUGGCUUGAGAACUUCCAUAGUCUGUGGGUACACCUGAAAAAGAAAAAAAGAAAAAGAAAAAGAAAAGGAAAACUCUCGUUCACUUUGACCAGCAAGCUCUCUCCCUGAGCCCUUCUUUAUUGGUCCCAGGGCCACAGAGCACAAUCCUCAACCCCUACCCAUUAGCCUUUUGAAUGUUGAUGUCCCCAGAGUCUUUUCUCCUCCAAGUAAAAAACUCUUUUUUUUUUUUUUUUUUUUUUUUUUUUUUUUUUGUCUUUUCAGGGCUGCACCCAUGGCGUAGGGAAGUUUCCAGGCUAGGGGUCGGUUGAGCUGCAACUGCUAGCCUACGCCACAGCCACAGCCACGCCUGAUCUGAGCUGCCUUUGUAACCUACACCACAGUUCACGGCAGCGCUACUACACCACUAAGUGAGACCAGGGAUCGAACCUGCGUCCUCAUGGAGACGAGUUGGGUUUGUUACUGCAGAGCCACAGUGGGAACUCCGAGUAAAACACUUUUUUAAGUUCUUGUGAUUACCCUCGCCAGCUGAUGUUACUUCCUCUCCCUUCCUGCGGUCUGAAUAUGCCCAGAGGCAGCUGGUUGGUGUGGGGGAGGGGAAGCCCAGAGGGAAAGGUAAGGAGGUGAGAGGAAGCAGGCCAGGGACCAGCUUGGGAAGCUCAGCUGUCCCCGCUCCUUCUGCAGCAUCACCCUUCAAGGGCUCCAGCUCAGCCGUUCCAGGGCUGGACUUGUUCUCGUCAAGGUUCAAGUUUUACUUCCUCUUCCUUUGCUGUUCACCCUCAUCUUGUGGGAUGCUGGCUUGAGACAGGGCAUCAGGAGAGCGGAAGGACAGAGUGUGGUUCACCUUCUACCUUGGCCACUCACCUGGAGGGCAAGGUGACUGGCUUCGGGGAGACACAGGCUCCU
RNAcentral lists this long non-coding RNA (1396 nucleotides) under Sus scrofa (pig). Its description in RNAcentral is "lncRNA (ENSSSCG00040020464.1)". The record is from RNAcentral. Lineage: Eukaryota; Metazoa; Chordata; Mammalia; Artiodactyla; Suidae.